Molecule: small RNA, 732 nt
Filed under: Arabidopsis thaliana (thale cress)
Lineage: Eukaryota; Viridiplantae; Streptophyta; Magnoliopsida; Brassicales; Brassicaceae
Description: ATSL285980
Source: RNAcentral
AUUUUUAUUAAUUAUUAUAGUUCACUUCUCAUCUUUAUAUGAUUCUAUUUUUACGAAAAAAUAAUAUCAUCAUUAUAAAAAAAUAAUUAGAGUUUUUUUCGCAUAUGCCAUAAUUUGAAUUUUUAAAAACGAAUAUAAACUGUUCAAUACAUGAAAUAAUAUUAUAACGGGUGAAAAAUAGAUUUAAGAAAACUUUCUACUGAGUAACGGGACAUAAAUUUGAAAUAUUUAUAUUUAAUUUCAUACAUAUUAUAUUGAAAAUUUAUAAUCUUAUAUACGACAAUAGUUAAUAACAUAUUAGAUGUGAUUCAAUUUUUAAUACAAGCUGGAAAAUCCUACAAUUGACGGGUUUAGAUCGAUAUUAAUACAAGAUGGUAUACUACAUGUGAAACUCUUAAAUUAACAAUCAAACUACAAGUGUAUAAUCUUAAACACCAAACAAUAUAGAUAAUAUCAACAAAACAUAUACAGUUCACAGUUUACUAUACAUUUAAAAUCAAAUAAAAUAAUAUCAUAUAUUUUUAAAUCAUCUUUACAAUAAAAAAUUUUAGUUUAACUAAAAUAUAAGCAUACUUGCGGUAUACUGCAGAUAAUCUCUAGAUUAUAGGACUUAUUGGAUCUAAAGACGGGUCAUCAAAGAUUUCCUAAACUGAAGCAAAAUAUACUGAAUAUUCAAAUAUCUAUCUGUUACCAAAUUAUAAACAAAUAAGUCAAUUUAAUAUUUUAUAUAUG